Long non-coding RNA from Nyctereutes procyonoides (raccoon dog), 5967 nucleotides. RefSeq lists it as uncharacterized. The transcript has 2 exons. The record is from RefSeq and is a predicted model, not a curated record. NCBI's taxonomy places the organism in Eukaryota, Metazoa, Chordata, Mammalia, Carnivora, Canidae.
CUUUCUGCGGCUGGUUGGCGUAGUUUGCAGUUUUCGGGGAUCCUUUCCGCAGGGCUGAGGAGCAGGUGACGGAGCCGAGUAGAUGUGAAAAGAGUCGUCCUCAGGGCAGAGACUUGGCGCACGGCUCUGCGACGCCGCCCGGGCUGCGCCUCACGGGGGCCGGGACAGGGACCCCCAGCCCGGUGUCCGCUCCGUCCACAGAGUAGACGCAGAGUAGGCGCUCCGUCCAGCGCAGAUUUUUUUUAUUCAUUCAUGACAGAGAGAGAGGCGGAGACAUCGGCAGAGGGAGAAGCAGGCUCCAUGCAGGGAGCCCAAUGUGGGACUCGAUCCAGGGACUCCAGGAUCACGCCCUGGGCCGAAGGCAGGCGCUCAACCGCUGAGCCACCCGGGGAUCCCCGAAACUAGAUUUUCUAAUAUGUGUGAUGAGGGAAGAAAACAGGUAUCAGGGAUAACCCCAGGGGAUUUGAUCUUUGCAACUGUAGGGAUGGCAGUUCCAACUGAGAUGAGGAAGUUGGUAGUAGGAGUAACAAUCACUGGGGAUAUCAGGAGCUUUGUUUUGGCCACAUUGAGAAUCUGAGGUAUUUCAGAGACCUCUGAGUGGAGGCAUCAAAUUGGCAACUGGAAACACAAGUUGGGAAAUCGAAGAGUGGUUCAAAUUGGAGACCUUCAAAAUGUGGUAUUUACUGUGUGGACCCAAUUAAUCUGUGGUUACAUAUAAGAGGUAUAGUCUUGUUAAUGAUUGUGAAGCUGUUUAUAUGCCAGGAUGUAGAGGGUAAGGGCUGAGCACUGGGUCUCUCACUUGGGUACCUUAGUGAUGGUAUUAGAAUUCAUAAAUGCAGGUGAGGGUGGUAUGUAUCCCUAACGUAGGCUGUAUCAGACUGACUAGUCUAGCAGAUGGCCAGGGUUUCCAAGAUAAGAAUGGAGAUGAGAAAGAUGCAGAGACAAGGGGUAAAUGAGGCAAGAUGUCACUCAGGCCAGAGCUCUUGCUUAUUCUCUAUGAUUUGUGAGGACUUUGGUGGGACCUGGGGUCUUUCAUUCAGCCUGGUGGGUGUAGUUGGGGCAAAUAUGAUCAUCUGUAAGAAUCAGUAGGACUGGGGUGGGUGAUAAAUGGACUGAACUUUGAAUGAGGAUUAGGUGGACAGAGAAGGUUGUCAUUGCUGAGGGGACAGCAAGCACAACACAAGGUGCAAGAGGGCCAUGGGUUUCUGAGAUCCACAACUGGCUCUGUGUGGCUUAGUGUCAGGCAUGGAACAGAGCCAGGAGGGAGGCCUUCAUAGAAGGAUUAGGUGUUUCCAACUCCCAACAGGAGCCAUGGGAGCUCUGGGGUAGUAUUGGGUCCGGUUUGAAUUUGCCAAGCAACUCUGGCUGUUUUCUGCUAAGUUGUAUUUCAUGACCUAAAAUUAAGACCCAUUGUUAUGUGCUCCCUUGACACCUCAUGAAACUCCCAAGUGCUUCACAUGGCCUGAGUGCAAGUUCUCCUCCCCACUCUUAGAUAAAGUUUCCUAGCCAAGCAUCCCUUUUCAUCAAGAGGACCAGAGCAGUUCCUGCUUAUGCCUUUAUUUUUAUUUUUAUUUUUUUUAAAUAAUUUUUUAAAAAGAUUUAUUUAUUUAUUUAUGAUAGACAGGGGUGGGGGCAGAGACAGGAGGAGGGAGAAGCAGGCUCCAUGCCGGGAGCCUGAUGUGGGACUCGAUCCCGGGACUCCAGGAUUGCGCCUCGGGCCAAAGGCAGGCGCUAAACCACUGAGCCACCCAGGGAUCCCCCCUGCUUAUGCCUUUAAAAUGGGUUUCACUUCUCUGCUAGGCCAUGGGGUUAUUCACACAAGCCAUUCACAUCAUCCUGUGGGAACCAGAUUGUACCCCACCUCUUGAUCUUGUAAAACUUGCAUCUCACAGCCCCUGGUUGUUUACUCUUACACAGUGUACAACGUUCAUGUGGCCCUAUAAGGUUGUGGUGUCCUCCUCUCCCUGGCUGUGAGUAUAUGUAAUUAAUAAACUACCUUUGACCUUGUCUGUCCAGUAUUAGGUACUUUGUGUUUGGCCAUCCCCUUAACCCUAGGAUGGGAAUUCUGCUCUUCUCGCAGUGGUAUAAAGGAGGGAUGACUAACACAAGAGUGACUUAUAGGGAGACCAGGGAGAUGCCUGUGCUGUGGGGCAUUGAGGUAUGGCUAUGGGCAUAUGGCUGUGGUGUCCAGGAAUGUGAGGGCUGUGCAUUCUAAAGAAUACUUGGAGAGAGAGUGUGUCUGAUGGUUUCAGAGACCUAGUAUUGAGAUUUACAGGACUUUGAUAACAUCAGAGGAAUAGCUUGACAGAAGUGUGUGGAUUCAUCUAGUGAGGGCAACAGCUUAGACAUCCAUUUGUUCACCUGCCUCUUUUCGCUGAUGAUUGGACCUGACCAGUGAGCCCAUGAGGAGACAGCAGUGCAAGUUGUUCCAAGGCCUGAUUUAUUCCCUGAGUUGGAGGGCUUGGGAGGAGAAUGGGUAUGGGGUAUUCGUGUAUGGAUGAAUUGUGGGUACUCUGGAGAAGGGCUGUUGGUGGUUUCAUGUGUCACCAUCAUGAUAGGGCACUGUGACCCUUGAAGACAUGGCUAUGUACUUGUUCUGGCAGGAGUAGGGUCUCCUUGAGGUUCAGAGACACUCAUACAAUAAUGUGAUGCUGGAAAGCUUUGAACUUAUAAUCUCGGAAUGCCAGGGUGGCUCAGUGGUCGAGCGUCUGCCUUUGGCUCAGAGUGUGAUCCUGGAGUCCUGGGAUCAAGUCCUGCAUUGGGCUCCCUGCAAGGAACCUGCUUCUCCCACUGCCUGUGUCUCUCCCUCUCUCUGUGUGUCUCUCAUAAAUGAAUAAAUAAAAUCUUAAAAAAAAAAAAAAAGGAAUUUACAGUCUCUCUGGGUAAGGCCCUCAUACCCAUCAUGGUACCCUUAGAUGUUCUCUGCUCUUCCCUUUUUCCCCAGGCACUGGUCUCUCCUUCCCAUAGCAGGACCAUGGACACUGCUUGUUUCCCCAACUCCCUAAGCCUGUGCUGUGGCUGAGAAGUCUGAGGUGUGUGCACUGCCCUCUCCCUGAGCAGCCCCAACACAGGGUUAGGCAUAUAGUGGUCAUUGUAAUUUUUUUUUUUUUUUUGGUCAUUGUAAUUGAUUUUACUUUGCUUGCCCUUUCCCUGGCCUGGUGACUUUGUGCAGGUCCAAGGCACCUGAAUACCAGUUGCUACUUCUUUCCUCUAGCUGACAUUUUUUCAUGACUGCUUGUGCCAGGAAUUGCUAACACCAGCACAGUUACAGUUGUGUGGACCACGGUCUUUUUCUUGCAACUCCUCUAUGUUUUCUGUAUUUUUUUUUUUCCUCCUGUGUGCUAUCACAUGCUGAGUUGUUCUGACCCAGUACUGUCUGCUCUUCUGUAAUGUGUUCUCCUUAGUAAUUGCAUCAUCCAGGUGCCAUGUAUUUGGUCAUCUUGGGGGUAGAUUGUAGAGCCUUUAUUUAAAUGGUUCACAAAUGGCUCUGAUCAAGCCACAGCAAGAUGGAGGAUCCUGAUCUGGAGGGUUGGUACCUGGAGAAGGACAUAAUAUCAAGGUUGUGUUUAAAUUGUAGCAGAAAUUGGGGCACCUAGGUUGAGCUCAGUGGUUGAGCAUCUACCUUUGGUUCAAGUCAUGAUCCUGGGGUCCUGAGAUUGAGUCCCACAUCGGGUUCCUGCAUGGAGCCUGCUUCUCCCUCUGCCUAUAUCUGUCUCUUUCUGUGUCUCUCAUGAAUAAAUAAAUAAAAUCUUUAAAAUAAAUAAAUUGUAGCAGAAAUCUAUUCUAUUUGGUUAGUGUUCAGUGCCAGGGGGCACACCUCAUUUCUGGUGUUUCUUCAGUCUUGAUGCUUUGCCUACUUAUCAACUCUACAUGUCACUUCUAUUCUUAUGUUCUGUGCAGGACCAGUCCAUACCUUUCUGGACUCCAUGUCUUACCUACUUUUCUCACUCCUCCAUCUGCAGUGCUUCCCAACAUUGACUUCUACAUAAUUUGUCAUGAGGUGUGCAUAUAUCUUCAAAUGGUCCUUGAACAUGAGCUACUCUGUUGCAGUUGGAUUUUCUUGGUCCUGGACUUACCUUUCUAUAUAGUGCUCAUGUGUCACCCGUAAACAAGAACUUGUUGAAAGUUAUUUGUAGAAAAAUGGGGCAUAGGCCUCCUCUCCUCCACUUGUCAUACAUCAGUUGUGUCCUUCACCAUUUGAGACCUUCCCCAUUUUAUGCUCUUCAUUUCCUUGGAACAAAGGCUGUCUUCAGCCCAAACCAAUCCUGGUUCUGCAGACAAGCCCAUGGACUUGUCCUGAGUUUGUCAAACGCAUUCUUGUGAAUGGGUAGUUGACUCCAACCAGAGUCAACAGGGACUCCUCCAGCAUUUUAUUCCUUUCAGGUUGUUGAUAUGGAGCACACACUGAGGAGGCACCUUUUGAGCAGAGCAUUUUUGUCAGAGUGUCACAGGUCAGGACUCCAAGGCAGGUGUCUCCCAGAAGGCCUACUCUUGUGAGGUAUGUAGCCUAGUCUUGAGAGAGAUUUUGCACUUGGUUGUGUCAAGGAACACGUACUAGGAAGAAGCCAUAUACCUGUGGGGCAUGUGGGAAAUAAUUACGUUUUACUGCAAACCUUCCAUGGCACCAGAAACAGGACAUUGGAGAGAAACGCUUCAGAAGCAGAGCCUCAUUUGUGAAGAGCUACAAAUUCUGUGUGUCGAGGAAGCCCUUUACCUACAGGGAGAUUGGGAAAGACUUCAUGACCAGCUCAGAAUCUCUCCAACAAUAAGUCACUUACACCGUGGAGAAGUCAAAGAGCAGUACCAAGUAUGUAGUGGCCUUACAUGAUGUAAAAAUUCAUUAUAAAUGGGGAAGAUACAUGAAAACUUUUGAGAACAAAUAUAUAUUUAUUCAACACCAGAGAGAUCUCUCUAGAAUAAGAUGUUACAUAUGUAGUGCAUGUGGGAAGUCUUAACAAAAGGUACCCCUCAGUCACCAUUGGAGAGUUCACAGUGGAAAAGGUCUAAAUGAGUGUGGGGAAUGUGGUAAAUUAUUUACCAACAAGAGCAUUCAGCAUCCCUGAGUUCACAGUGGAGAAAGACCAUAUAUGUACAGGGAAUGUGGCAGCUUCAUUUAUAGAUCCAGUCUCCUGAAUUACCUGAGGUUUCACACUGAAUCCUUAUGAGUGUGGGGGAUGUGGGAAAUCCUUUAUAAAGCUCUGUGCUCCUCAGCGCUGGGAAGUUUACAAUGGAUGAAGGCCUUAUGAGUGCUGAAUGCUCAGGUGGAGGCCCUAUCUCAUUGAAUACUGGAAAAUUCAUGUAGAAAACUUAGGGAACUUAAUGUAGAUGUGUGGGAGUGUUCUAUUGUAUUCCUUAUAAGUGGAAGUGAUCCAUAUGAGGGUGUUAUCUACCUGAAUUAAAUCUCCUACAUGAGAAUGGCCACUAAGUGCCAGGUAUGUGAGAGGUAUGUUUUUAAACUGCACAGCCUAUUGCCAGAUGUGUGUCCCUUGGUUCUGGCAGAAGCCUACCCUUGGAAGGUGCCUGUGGUGUGUAUCAUUUAGUAACUACUUUAGGGAAGUAAAAUUUCCCUGUUGUAUUUGUAAAGGAUAUGUGAGAAGCCUGAGCAUUCAUCCCUUUCUUAUUUUUUUCUCUGUGAAGACUUAGGCCCUGGACCUGACCCAAUUUGGGCUCAGAAGAUUCUGCUCAUGAUUUGAAAACACAGACUUCCUUUUUUAAAAAAAAAUAUUUGUGCAUGAGAGACACAGAGAGGCAGAGACACAGACAGAGGGAGAAGCAGGCUCCAUGCAGGGAGCCCGAUGUGGGACUCGAUCCCAGGACUCUGGGAUCACACCCUGAGCCAAAGGCAGACACUCAACCACUGAGCCACUCAGGCGUCCCCAAAACAUAAACUUCCUGUUUCAGGAAUGGUCUCAUAUGACUCUCGUGAUGGAGUUUUCCAGCAUUCAAAUAAAAAAGCUUGGAACAGCC